Molecule: long non-coding RNA, 337 nt
Filed under: Carassius auratus (goldfish)
Lineage: Eukaryota; Metazoa; Chordata; Actinopteri; Cypriniformes; Cyprinidae
Description: lncRNA (ENSCARG00000060342.1)
Source: RNAcentral
AGACUGUCAUCCAUGUAUGAAUAGGAACAGUUGGUGGCGGUAUGUGCCUAAGGUGCAGAAUACGCCAAAAAAUCCAAGGAAGAAGAAGAAGAGGAAAGAGAGAUCUGUUUGGCGAAGUGGAAGCAUGGUUUUCUCCUCAAGUAUUCAAUACAUUACAAUACAGUCCAGAUUGAGAAAUAUGUGUUUCAAGCUCAAUCAUAAAGCAGUGUGUUACCGCCAGCCCCACUGCACAUGGGAGAACAUGGACCCACACCGCACAGCGCACCAAUUGAAGAGGAAGCCGAGCAACGAGCUCCAAACCACCUCAGGCCAACCCCCUUUCACCACCUUUCCAUGA